GUUAUUACCAACUUUUGGCCUGUAAGCCAUAGGAUUCAAGACGUAAUUGUGAAGCAGAUGCUUUGAGGUGUCCGGCUCCCUAAAGAAUGAACUCUUCCAUCCCCUUCUUCCAGACUGCUGACUAUAGACUCGGAACCUGUGAGGGUCCGACAUCCCCGACACCAUACACUAGAUUGAAAUUUGUUUCCCUUUGUCUUAAGAAAAACUCCUGGGGAUACUGAGGAUACCAAGAGGCUGUGCAGAGCCAGGUGUGCGUUCCAUAAUACGCCUAUUAUACAGCCAUUCUCAGUAGCCGUGCAUAUACAAUGACCCUUCUGAUUUGCCCCACUACCGAGUGCUUGCCAAGACUUCGGUCCCCACCUGGUACAACUUCAGGAAAAGGCCAAGGUAGCCUUAAUCAGCAUCACUGGGGACCAGUCCAAAGAGAACAGGUCAGAGGAAUACCAGAGUCUACUAUCAACAUGAGGAUUGUAAAUACUUAUAUCCACAAAACUCAGCAGGAAUGGGCCACAAAAGUGGAAGAUUGGGGAACAAUGUGCCCUUUGAAUUAAGGGAUCAGGCAUUUGCUUUCAUUGGCCCUGGUGCCAGCCCAGCACAGGGACCUAGGUGAAGUGUCAUUGAUGCUUUCACUUUAUGGAAGUCCAUAAAUACAAUUUGGUGGAGAUCAUACAGGACCAAACUAGUUUGGGAGCUAACACACCUGUGAUGUCUUGAUGGAGAUUUUCUUCAGCAGAGAUGGAACACACUCCUUUACUCAAAGUAGAAAAGCCAGCCCAACACAUACCAAUAAAAGAAGAUAGAGGAAAUAAAAGGAAAUUAACAGUGACUGCAGGACAUAUUGUUUAAGAAUCCAGAAAAGAAUCAAGUGCUCUUCACUCUCUGAUUUAUAUCACUUCAGGAAGAAAGAAGCCUUUUUGUCUCUUUAUCAAGCCUACAGUCAUGGAAUGUGUAUAUGCUUUUUUUUUUUUUUUGAGUACUGGGGAUUGAACUCAGGACCUUGCACCUCAGAACCACUGAGCUAAAUCCCCGGCCCAGUGUACAUGGUUUCUUCAGUUUCAGCCCUUGUGAUUGCCAUUCAACAGAAGUUGCUUAUACCAUGGUCAUCUUUCUUUGUAACCAAACCUUUUGCUUGUGAUUUUGCUCUCCUAAGUGUUAAUCAUUUGUGGCACCAACAACAGCACUAGUAGUUUCUUGCUUAUCCUGACACGUCACUGACUUCUUUCUUUUUUCUAGCUUUCAGUAUUUCUGGCAAUUCUUUCCUUUGCUACCCUUGGAAAUAAAACAUCUGACAUAGUCACAAGUCAUCAGCCAUGUCUAGAUGACCAUGAAUUCCAUGUACAUAACUGCUAGUAUAACAGAAAUAUGUCCAAUUAACACUGCUAGCAGAAGACUCUCCACUUGAAUGUCUCAAAACCUUAAUAUAAUAAGUAAGAAAUGGUCAAGUAGUACUUUUAAAUGACUUGACCUAAUAGUUACAUUCCCAAACUGGAGUUAAUUGCUUGCUUCAAAACUUCAUUUUCUCCAACUAGCUUACGAAUUACUGAUAGCUCUGGACCUUGAGUUUCUUGGUUUGUUGCAUUGAAAUCAUCUGUAGUGUUCCUUCCUUCUUCCAUCUUUCCAUUUCUCCAGGGAGUGAAAAAGCUUUUAGCUGAUCUUUGAUUUCUUCUUCUAUCUAACCAUGUUAUUCUUGGGGUGUAAUAAUGAAGUUUGCAUGCCCCCUUUUAUAAUCUGAUGUAGGCCCACAAGCAUUGAUGCUUUGCUAAUAUUGGUUUAUUUAUUAUGCCUUCUUUGGAAAAUCCUUUGUGAUUACUUGUUUGAAGUUAAAAAUACUGAUUGGAUACAAGAUUCUUUUUUUUUUUUUUCAGUUUUCAGCAUAUAUCUCCAACCUGCCCUCAGUCUAUAUUUGAGUUUAAUAAAUCACAGUUUAAUUUUACUAAGCUUAAUUUUCUGCUCUGUAAAUUGAGACUAAUAAUAUUAACAAUCUCAUAAGGUUGUGGUUAGGAUUAAUUUAAUACAUGCAAUCCUUAGAAUGAUGCCAGAGUUAUAUCAAACCCUUAUUCAGUGUUAAUUAUGUGGAAAAAAAUUCAUUAUCAUCUCAUGCUGAAGACAAAUUUUUUUUGUAGUUUUCUACUAUUUUUGCAAAAAACCCCCCCCACAAACAACACCCCCAAAUCAACAGCUUUUGAAGGGUUCAUGUUUAAUUCUGGGUCUGUAAAAAACUCUUGGUUGAUUUUUAGUUGUCUUGAUCCAAUUUUAUCCUCUGUAAUGAUAGUACUCUUUAAUGAUGAUUUUUUUAAAAAAACCCUAAAAACAUACAUAUUCUCUAGAAGGUAUUUAGUAUCAAGUAUCCUAAUAAAGAGUUGCUAUGAAGCAAAUCUUUUGCUAAAGGUGAUUCUCAAACUUGAGUUUACUAAAAUGGUCCAAGAAAUAUAGUAAGGGAUUUGCACUGCAGUAAUGUCUUUGAAGUCGUCGCCUGCCUUUAAUUUUUCAGUAAGCGCCUAAUCUCAUUAGAUUUCAUACACCCAGUGUUUGCACUUGCACAAAAGCUGUCCAAACAAAGCCAAAAUGUUGACACCACCGUCCUCUGAUGGCAUUUAGAAUGAAUAUAUUAAACACACUUGCACUAGCAUUGCAUUAAGCUAAGAAAUAAAUUUUGAACUUUGAACUCAGCAGGAUAAAAAGUUUUACUUGAUAGCUGAGCAAUUGUGUUGUGGUAUCAUGGGGGGAAGUCAUUGUGUUGUUCAGAGAAUCCAAAUAUGCAAACAUGCUCUGCAUACAGUAGGCACUGCACAAGUAAAGAAUUAAAGUAAGGAACAGUCCUCAAAUCCUGUUGUUAGGGACAUAAAUGGAAGGUAAAGUGGACUGGUGGAUUUGCUUUGAAAUGCACUGAAUAAACUUUGAUUAAACUCGCUUCAGAGAAAGGCUCUGAAAGAAUACCUUCUAGUAAGUGUGUGAACUAGAGUAUGCUUUACUUCAAUCCACUCUGGUAAUUCACAAAUUUAGGCAUUUUUCUUUAGAAUCUGGAAAUUAUAUUUUUAUUAAAGGUUUGGAAACUGAUGAUUAUAGAGAACAUAAAAGAUAAGACUUCUCUGACUUUUGUCAUAAAAUAAAGAUAGCAACAAGGCUAGAAUUUGGAACCAACUAAAUCUAAUGGCUAGAGCUAUUUAGUGGUUUCUAAGUAGACAGAAGUGAAAGUAAAAGAGUUUCCCCAUAUAUUGUGUAUAAAUGUUUAUAAACCUAUAUAUCUGUAAUAUGAUCAUUAAUUAAGAAAUAUAUACCAAUGAGGAAAAUACCACCCACCAAAAUCCAUUCAUUAAAGUUUGUGCACAUUACUUAUUGAAAAUUUCAUAAUUCCUCAGCCUGAUUUCUUUUACUUUAGACAUUAUUUGCUUGAGUUUUGCUUUUUGGCUUGUGUGAAAGGAUUUCACAAGAAACAUUUUUUGAAAUUUGUUGAUACCAGCUAUUAUCAGAAUAAUGUUGAAGAUAUCUAUGUUAACUUAUUGGUUUUUUGUGGAUAUCAUGAAAAAAGUUCUCUCAGGUCUUCAUAUCAAGAGCAGUAGUAAUUUCUAUGAAUAGCUGGC
This 3581-nucleotide long non-coding RNA is filed under the name Heterocephalus glaber (naked mole-rat). RNAcentral describes it as "lncRNA (ENSHGLG00000043470.1)". Lineage: Eukaryota; Metazoa; Chordata; Mammalia; Rodentia; Bathyergidae. The record is from RNAcentral.